Molecule: long non-coding RNA, 927 nt
Filed under: Marmota monax (woodchuck)
Lineage: Eukaryota; Metazoa; Chordata; Mammalia; Rodentia; Sciuridae
Source: RNAcentral
GGGGACCGGAGUAGGGGCCGGGGUCCCGGAGUCCCAAGGCACGACUUCAGGACAUUUCGAGCUUUCCUGUCCGCUGCCUCUGAACAUUGGAGACUCAGGACCUCCGUGACCGCGGAGUGAUGGGUCACUAAAUCCAGGGCCUGCCUGGUUCCGAGAACACCUCGGUCUGCCGGCCCGAGCCUCUCCAAAGCUGGGGUGACCCGCCUCCUUCGUCAGCUCUUCUUCACUUCAUGGUCCCUGGGUAUUUAAAGCCACCGUGAUGACCUGAUCCGGAUUCCUGUCAUUCUCCCAUGAAUUUACUGUGCUAGCGACUCUCAUUCAUUCAAAGCCCUUUGGUUCGCGCUUGGCUUAGGGAGCUGUCCGAGCUACUGCGUGCCCAAGUCUUCCAAAGCCCCCUCCGCUUCCGCAACACCAGGUUAGAGAGCCCACAGUGUCCGGACGCCCGGACUGCUGCAAGCGAGGAACGCACUGGGACUCAUGCCAGGAGCAGCUGGUUAUGGAAGAAUGACAGAGUUGAAAGGUUUCACCCCAGGCCAGGGGUUCACUGCGUGUAUGCAUUCAAACAAGCACAGGGCCAGAAAUUUUCCUGAGACCGACUGCCUCAUCCCCAACAACUCGGCUGUGAAAACACAUUGUCAGUUUUAGCUGCUUCUCACUGAAGAAACUUCAUGAGAAUAAAGCCUUUGUGGAGCUGCACUGGCGAUUUCUAAAUCCCUGGGAAUCCUCUCAGGUCGAUGGUUUCAGGCUGUUCCCUCUGUAAAUGUAUGCAGUAAGAAUGGAUGUCUCCUUUGCUGAUUGUUCCACAGCAGCAAAAGGAGAAAAAAAAAAAAAAAACACUUUUGGGAAGGGAACUUGGAAGGUAAAGGGAUUUAUUUCUCUGAAGAUCUGGUUUCCACCUUUAAAGGGAUUUUAAUGUCCCUAAACUAG